GUAGGGAAUAUUGCACAAUGGGGGAAACCCUGAUGCAGCGACGCCGCGUGAGUGAUGAAGGCCUUCGGGUCGUAAAGCUCUGUCGUAUGGGACUAACACAAUGAAGGUACCAUGCAAGAAAGGAUCGGCUAACUUCGUGCCAGCAGCCGCGGUAAGACGAGGGAUCCUAGCGUUGUUCGGAAUCAUUGGGCGUAAAGCGGGUGUAGGCGGAUUUAUAAGUCAGGUGUGAAAUCCCAGGGCUCAACCCUGGAAGUGCACUUGAUACUGUAAAUCUUGAGUGUGGUAGAGGUUACUGGAAUUGUUGGUGUAGUGGUGAAAUACGUAGAUAUCAACAGGAAUACCGGAGGCGAAGGCGAGUAACUGGGCCAACACUGACGCUGAGACCCGAAAGCGUGGGGAUCAAACAGGAUUAGAUACCCCAGUAGUCC
Molecule: ribosomal RNA, 428 nt
Filed under: uncultured bacterium
Lineage: Bacteria
Description: bacterial SSU rRNA
Rfam family: Bacterial small subunit ribosomal RNA
Source: RNAcentral